This 496-nucleotide ribosomal RNA is filed under the name uncultured bacterium. Its description in RNAcentral is "partial 16S ribosomal RNA". It matches the Rfam family "Bacterial small subunit ribosomal RNA", at positions 28 to 507 of the family's 1533-position model. The record is from RNAcentral.
GAUGAACGCUGGCGGCGUGUCUAAUACAUGCAAGUCGAGCGAACAGAUGAGGAGCUUGCUCCUCUGACGUUAGCGGCGGACGGGUGAGUAACACGUGGAUAACCUACCUAUAAGACUGGGAUAACUUCGGGAAACCGGAGCUAAUACCGGAUAAUAUAUUGAACCGCAUGGUUCAAUAGUGAAAGACGGUUUUGCUGUCACUUAUAGAUGGAUCCGCGCCGCAUUAGCUAGUUGGUAAGGUAACGGCUUACCAAGGCAACGAUGCGUAGCCGACCUGAGAGGGGGACGGCCCAAAUGGAACCUGGAACACGGCCCAACCCCCACGGGGGGGAAGCAGAGGGAAAUUUUCCGAAAUGGGGAAAACCUGAACGAGCAAACCCGCGGGAGGUAAGAAGGUUUUCGGAUUGUAAAACUCUUUUUUUAGGGAAAAAAAAAAGUGUAAGGAACCAUUCACGUCUUUAAGGGACCUAAUCAAAAAACCCCCGGUAACCUCCUG